GACGAACCGCACGAACGUUAUUCGGAAUUACUGGGCUUAAAGGGUGCGUAGGCGGCCCGGAAAGUUGGGUGUGAAAGCCCUCGGCUCAACCGAGGAAUUGCGCCCAAAACUUCCGGGCUUGAGGAAGACAGAGGUGAGCGGAACUUGCGGUGGAGCGGUGAAAUGCGUUGAUAUCGCAAGGAACACCAGUGGCGAAAGCGGCUCACUGGGUCUUUUCUGACGCUGAGGCACGAAAGCCAGGGGAGCGAACGGGAUUAGAUACCCCCGUA
RNAcentral lists this ribosomal RNA (269 nucleotides) under uncultured prokaryote. RNAcentral describes it as "partial 16S ribosomal RNA". It matches the Rfam family "Bacterial small subunit ribosomal RNA", at positions 524 to 792 of the family's 1533-position model. The record is from RNAcentral.